AAAAAUUUUCCCCCAACAAUUUCUUCAAAAAUUUCUCCCAACCUUUCCCCCAAAUUUUCAAUUUUCAAACUUUUCAUCUUUUCAAUUCAUUUUGUACUAAAAUUUCAAACAUCAGCGGAGAAAUUUGCCUCUUCUAUUCUCUAUACAAUGCAAUCUUCUUCCAAGAGAUGGCAAUAACAAGACGCAAAGCCUACUGUUCCUCCAAAUUAAUAUUCGCUUGAUUGUGUUUAAUUUGUGAAGGUUUAAACAUUUGAUUGUGUUUAAUUUGUGAAGGCUGCAAGGAAAUUAGAUUCGACCACCGGCAAAGUGCCCCUUCGCUACCGCCCCUGAACUGUUGCUUUUAGGUUCCACAAAUUGGAACUACUUCUUAGAAGGUAUUCCCUCACUUCAUAUAAGAAUCGACAUUUCAAUUCUAGUGACUUCACAAGUUUCUGCGCAAUCACAAAACAAUGAUAUGAUAUAUGUUGUGUUCAAUUAAUUGGAUUUCGCUUGUAUGUAUGUUCCUGUAUUUCUUCUUUGUAAAUGUUCCUUAUGAAUAUCAGUUGAUGUGAAUAUAUAUGAUUAGUACUGAUUGUGACUAAUUUAUGUUUAUUGGCUUAGAAAGAGGAUUUCUCCUUGAGCGCUCCAUAUAUAAUAAUGUAAUGCUCUUUCAAAACAUAUUGUGUUUCUUGAAUUUGCCUUUUAAGUUAAUAGAAUGUUGAUUCAAAGUAAUAUAUUUUACUAUCAUUCACCAAUAUUGAAGAUAUGAUCCUUCUCUAUGAGAUUUAUCUACUUUUUGCAUAGCUGAUUGAUCAAGUUAUGAACUUAUAUUUAUCACAUUACCAACAAUUUCUCUUGGACCCUUUCUCUGAUGAUUAGCUUACCAGAUUCUUCAUGCUGCCAAAUGCAAAUGAAUUCAUUGCAGGAAACAACUCAAAGAUUGUAAGGCCUUUCUAAUUUGUUCAAUAUGCAGAAUGCGCAGGCAAUCCCCCUUCACUAAUAAUGUUGAUUCAAAAUUUUCUCUCAAUUUUGAGCUAAUGUUGAUUCUUCUUUUCACUGUACAGAAGCUGCUACAUGAAAUAAUGGAGCAUUUUCUCUAAGUUGUGGGCAAAAUCAUGACAACUAGUGAAUGUAAAAUAGAAUUGGAUGUCUAUGCUAUGCAUUGUUUAUUUGAUUGUAUAUAAUUAGAAUGCAAUUAUAAAAUAUGUUGAGAUCGCUAAGCUGAUUUCAAAUAUGAAAAUAUUAGUUAGAAUAAAAAAGGUAACUAAUAUCUUCACAUAUUAUUAUGAUCAAUCUUGGUUUAUGCUUUUCUAUUGAUUUUUUAGUUCCUAUAUUAAUUUUCUAUGGAUGUGAUGAUUUCUCCUUUAUUUGAUAUAUACAGAAUCUCUAUCAAGCACAGGCUUCGCUCCUCAGACUUACAUGCAUCGAGGAAUCGCCUUAAAGGAUCUGAUUCGCUUGUGGCUAAGCUUUGUGGGAUUGAGAAGGUCGCGUGGCGUGGGAGAGGUACUUGGCCCUUUUAGGCAGGCAUGAGAGGCUCACAUUCUAAAGAAACAACUUCAAAUAUGUUGAGCACUUUUGGAAGGAUUAACACUUUAUAAUUUUUACUACUAGUAUUGCUUGUGUAGUUUAAGUCAAAGAUGACCAACACUUAAUAUUGUUUAGUUUGUGUGUUCAAACACGUUACAUUUUUGUGUAAAAUCAUUUGAUGGUUUGAAUAUUAUUCAAAUAGUUGUCAUUUUA
This is a long non-coding RNA of Salvia splendens (bonfire salvia), 1719 nucleotides long. RefSeq lists it as uncharacterized. The transcript has 2 exons. The record is from RefSeq and is a predicted model, not a curated record. NCBI's taxonomy places the organism in Eukaryota, Viridiplantae, Streptophyta, Magnoliopsida, Lamiales, Lamiaceae.